ACCUACGGGAGGCAGCAGUAGGGAAUAUUGCAAAAUGGGCGCAAGCCCGAUGCAGCAACGCCGCGUGCGCGAUGAAGGCCUUCGGGUUGUAAAGCGCUUUUCGAGGGGAUGAGGAAGGACAGUACCCUCGGAAUAAGUCUCGGCUAACUACGUGCCAGCAGCCGCGGUAAAACGUAGGAGGCGAGCGUUAUCCGGAUUUACUGGGCGUAAAGCGCGUGCAGGCGGACGGGUAAGUUGGAUGUGAAAGCUCCCGGCUCAACUGGGAGAGGUCGUUCAAGACUGCCCGACUAGAGGAUGGUAGAGGGAGGUGGAAUUCCGGGUGUAGUGGUGAAAUGCGUAGAUAUCCGGAGGAACACCAGUGGCGAAAGCGGCCUCCUGGACCAUUUCUGACGCUCAGACGCGAAAGCUAGGGUAGCAAACGGGAUUAGAUACCCCGGUAGG
Molecule: ribosomal RNA, 441 nt
Filed under: uncultured bacterium
Lineage: Bacteria
Description: bacterial SSU rRNA
Rfam family: Bacterial small subunit ribosomal RNA
Source: RNAcentral